Triplophysa dalaica is the source of this 663-nucleotide long non-coding RNA. RefSeq lists it as uncharacterized. The record is from RefSeq and is a predicted model, not a curated record. Lineage: Eukaryota; Metazoa; Chordata; Actinopteri; Cypriniformes; Nemacheilidae. The transcript is spliced from 3 exons.
UCGACUGUUGUUUCAAACAUAGUGCAGUUAUGAACAUCAAUAAAUACGACGGAAUUCCCUAUAUCCAAUAAACAUGAUGGACUUCCAGGAAUACACUGUGAGUUUUAAAAAUGAACGUUUUAUCGAUUCGUUCACUUUGUGGGUGAUUUUGGUUCAUGGAAAGCGCCAGGCGAACAGCAUCGCGAUCUGAUUGGAUUACGCAAGUGUGAUGCAGUUCGUGCAGACCUCUUUCGACACUUUGGGGUAUGAGACACAUACUCCGAUUUACCUUCACAUCUAUGACACGUACUCCAUCAGGAUGUGAUGAAUGUAGUACGACUUCUGUACCGGUUCGAUCCAGUUUGGUCCCGGACGACAGGCAUUGAUCUUGGAGGAGUGGCACCUUUAAGCUCAUAAUGACUGGAGAAGGGAGGAGUAAAGCUGAUCCUGAUCUGAAGAUUGGAGCCAAGUGUCAGCCAGAGGGAACUUCAUAUUGACUGCUUCUCACAUUGAGCGUAUGAGGAACACUGGGGUUCAUCUGCUCCAGACGCCAGCAGCUAAGUUCUGAUUUACACCUCAGAGCCUCAAUAAGUGAUUUACAUCCCCGCUGAGAACUUGAGAGGAUUUUUAGAUAUAUAAGAAACGUAUUUAGUUUGAAUCUAUUAUGUGCGAGUUGCUAUGAAG